Myzus persicae (green peach aphid) is the source of this 584-nucleotide long non-coding RNA. RefSeq lists it as uncharacterized. The transcript is spliced from 3 exons. Lineage: Eukaryota; Metazoa; Arthropoda; Insecta; Hemiptera; Aphididae. The record is from RefSeq and is a predicted model, not a curated record.
CAUCACACACACUCACGCACGAGAAUAAAAAUAAAAUAACCCCCGCGGACUUCGUUCUCGGCGGCGAGAGAGAGUUUAAGUUUGUGACUUGACGUGCGGGAGGCAGCCUGCUGCUGCUGCUGUUGUUGCAGGGCCGUAAUAGGUAGGAGUGUAGGACGUGGUACCUACAACUCGCGACGGUGAAUUAUGGCGGAAAGGAAAAAAACACUGCGCGGACCGAGUUCCAGUUAUGUUUAGCAAUAACUUUGGCGGUAACUGUACAUGGAACAGGAAGAGCCGUUUAAACGAAAAAUCGGAAACAUCAAGCGAACACAAAGCGUAUAAAAAUAUAUUAUGUAAAUAUUGAUACCAACGGGCUAUACAACGGAUAUAAUGUCGCGGCCCGGCAUUUCACCGGCAUUUUUACAAUAUAAUUAUUAUCAUAAUAUCCAGUAAAUUGUUUACAUGGCAAAUAAUAAGAGUUUCUCGUGGAUAAUAUUUUGUGGAAGAAGCGGUUCACCAUAACAUCACCUCAGGAAUAUUUUUAUUACUAGGUAUAUAAGUAAUAAUAUAUUGUAGUAAUGGUAUACGGUAUGGAUAACAUU